This 254-nucleotide long non-coding RNA is filed under the name Gossypium barbadense (sea-island cotton). RNAcentral's name for it is "long non-coding RNA (GBAR_LNC023569)". The record is from RNAcentral. Lineage: Eukaryota; Viridiplantae; Streptophyta; Magnoliopsida; Malvales; Malvaceae.
UUCAAUUUAGUCAUUUUUGACAUUUUUACAAAAUUACCCAUAAAAUUUUACUUUUAUUCAAUUUAGUUCUUGAGCCAAAAACAUACAAAUUAGCCAUGCUAGCUGAAUAUUCAUACAUAUUUUUCCUCCUCCUCUCCAUUCCACAUCCUUAGUAUAAACAACACACUUGUAGGUAACAUUAUCCAUAAUUUUCACUAUCUACUUAUGUGAAUAUUCAAGCUAUCCAUCUGUGUCAUAGUCACUAAAUUAUUUUU